RNAcentral lists this transfer RNA (81 nucleotides) under Brassica napus (rape). RNAcentral's name for it is "tRNA-Leu (GAG) (tRNA-Leu-GAG-1-1)". It matches the Rfam family "tRNA". Rfam says of the family: Transfer RNA (tRNA) molecules are approximately 80 nucleotides in length. Their secondary structure includes four short double-helical elements and three loops (D, anti-codon, and T loops). Further hydrogen bonds mediate the characteristic L-shaped molecular structure. tRNAs have two regions of fundamental functional importance: the anti-codon, which is responsible for specific mRNA codon recognition, and the 3' end, to which the tRNAs corresponding amino acid is attached (by aminoacyl-tRNA synthetases). tRNAs cope with the degeneracy of the genetic code in two manners: having more than one tRNA (with a specific anti-codon) for a particular amino acid; and 'wobble' base-pairing, i.e. permitting non-standard base-pairing at the 3rd anti-codon position. Lineage: Eukaryota; Viridiplantae; Streptophyta; Magnoliopsida; Brassicales; Brassicaceae. The record is from RNAcentral.
GUUGAUAUGGCCGAGUUGGUCUAAGGCGCAGGAUUGAGGUUCCUGUCCGAAAGGGCGUGGGUUCAAAUCCCACUGUCAACA